Molecule: ribosomal RNA, 253 nt
Filed under: uncultured bacterium
Lineage: Bacteria
Description: partial 16S ribosomal RNA
Rfam family: Bacterial small subunit ribosomal RNA
Source: RNAcentral
UACGAAGGGGGCUAGCGUUGUUCGGAAUUACUGGGCGUAAAGGGCGCGUAGGCGGCCUGUCAAGUCAACUGUGAAAUCUCCGGGCUUAACUCGGAACGGUCAGUUGAUACUGUCAGGCUAGAGUGCAGAAGGGGCAAUCGGAAUUCUUGGUGUAGCGGUGAAAUGCGUAGAUAUCAGGAGGAAUACCGGAGGCGAAGGCGCCUGCCUGGCAAGAUAUUGACGCUGAGGUGCGAAAGCGUGGGUAGCAAACAGG